CUCUCCCUUUCUAGCCAAUGGCUAGCGGUUGGCUCUACAGAUUCCACCCUGGAGGCGGAGCUACUGGCCUGAGCCGUUAGAACGCAUGCGUCGCCCAGGGAGAGUGAAGUACCAGUAUAGAGAUAGAAAAAGUUAAGAGUCGCCACUGGGCCGGAAGAUAUCAAUAGCCAUUUUUGCCUUUUCGUAUCCCAAAAAACAUUAAAUUUCAGAGAUGAAAUAAUUCGGNACUUAUAGUGUUUCGAGACGGGGCAAGGCAGAAUCCAGAGCAUGUAUAUUUGUGUAUAAGUUAAACCCAAUAGCGNUACUAUAGGACAAAGUGCUUUGCACCAUAGAGAUAAGAAGGAUAAGAGCGUCAGUACAAGUUUUCAGUGGCUCCAUUAUAACUUUUGAUUGGCCUGCCAAAAUCACGCGAUGCGUGACGUAAUUNCUCGAUGUGUGUAAUAUAUUCCGAUUGAAAAGGAGAAGAGCGGGGGGCNUGGACAGACUUUUGUGCAUGCGCAGUAAAGUGUUAGCGAGUAGAGAGUGUGGGAACGUGAUUGAUUUUGCAGGUCGUAGAAGUUGCGCAUGUGUAGCAGACCAACUUGUUCUGCUGCGUAUCUUAAUAAGGCAUUCCAGGGCUUCGUUCUAAAAACACAUCUUGGCGGUGACUGUUCUCCUGGGCACCGUUCCAGCACAUUAGCAGGCAGGGCAGGAGAGCCUCNGCAGGCUCCAGCCGCAAGCUCAGGCCUCGUUCAGCUGUCGGAUCGGCCUGCCCGUUUCCACUUCGCUGGAAAGAUUUGCUGCUGAUACCCCCCCUCGCCCCAACAGCGCCUGUUCUCCCAGCCGCCCCUUGGCAUGGGUCACUCUUGGCUCCAAGUGAUGUUUGCUCUGAUGGCUGUGGCUCCCGGAUGCGGCCGAGGCCAUGUGCCUGCAUCAGAGGUCCCUGACGCCCACGGGCAGGCGCAGAGCCCGCAGGAGGAGAGCACAGCAGUGCCGCAGGAAGGCUCCCACGUGAUGCCCCGGUACAGCAGCUGCAUGUUCCGCUGUGUCGACCAUGCGAUGCGCGAUAUGCUCAAGAGCAUGCUCACAACCAGGGCCAGGCUCUCCCUGAUGCUCAACGAAGGCAGUGAAGGAGAGGANCANGACUUUUGUUGGCUGCUGCACCUCCGCAGCCAGAAAGGAGAAAGACUCACCAAAGCUUUCGUCCUGCUGAACCCGGAGCCAAACCCCGACGGAGGUCAACCNCCUUCCUACCGGAUACGUGUCACUAUUCCUUCCGCUGAACCCCAAUACGUGCAGGCCCAGCCAAAGAAGCNUAUCAUAAGGCUGCUAAACGGAGAAGCCUGCGGUGUCCGCUACGACGUGACGGAGCCCUUCCGNGGGGCAGAGGCAGGCCCGGAUGCCAAAAUGUGCGUCAAAGCUGUGUGUUUGGACGAAGACCUUUGCAGGGCGUUGAGACUGGGCAUGCACUGCCCGCCUUUCUUAGCUACUUUAUGGCGUAGCUUGCCCCGGCCUGAUGGCUAGAUCCCAAGAAAGUGCGGGGUAGAGGGGGAAUAGGAAAAUGCAGGCGCNCACACAUUCCAGUUCUGCUGCCGGUUACAUCAAACAAAUGACACUGUGACAGACUUCACCGUAGCAAUAAAUCUUUUUAACUGGCAUUUGAGCUUCA
Molecule: long non-coding RNA, 1648 nt
Organism: Salvator merianae (Argentine black and white tegu)
Lineage: Eukaryota; Metazoa; Chordata; Lepidosauria; Squamata; Teiidae
Source: Ensembl